Molecule: ribosomal RNA, 485 nt
Filed under: uncultured bacterium
Lineage: Bacteria
Description: partial 16S ribosomal RNA
Rfam family: Bacterial small subunit ribosomal RNA
Source: RNAcentral
AUUGAACGCUGGCGGCAGGCUUAACACAUGCAAGUCGAGCGGGGAAGCGUAGCUUGCUACUUGACCUAGCGGCGGACGGGUGAGUAAUGCUUAGGAAUCUGCCUAUUAGUGGGGGACAACAUCUCGAAAGGGAUGCUAAUACCGCAUACGUCCUACGGGAGAAAGCAGGGGACCUUCGGGCCUUGCGCUAAUAGAUGAGCCUAAGUCGGAUUAGCUAGUUGGUGGGGUAAAGGCCUACCAAGGCGACGAUCUGUAGCGGGUCUGAGAGGAUGAUCCGCCACACUGGGACUGAGACACGGCCCAGACUCCUACGGGAGGCAGCAGUGGGGAAUAUUGGACCAUGGGGGGAACCCUGAUCCAGCCAUGCCGCGUGUGUGAAGAAGGCCUUUUGGUUGUAAAGCACUUUAAGCGAGGAGGAGGCUACCGAGAUUAAUACUCUUGGAUAGUGGACGUUACUCGCAGAAUAAGCACCGGCUAACUCUGUG